UAAACUCUCAUAAGCAGAUUCUGUCGUGUUUCGUGAUGUUUCCUUACAGGCUCUCUCUAUGUCAACAGUAUCUUGUUAAAUGGGAGGCCCCCAGCCACGACACAGGAGGUCCCCAGCACCAGCACGGAUGGACAGCCGCGGAACCAGGUGAAGGCAGAACCAGUAGAAGGCAGAA
Non-coding RNA from Peromyscus maniculatus bairdii (prairie deer mouse), 175 nucleotides. The record is from RefSeq and is a predicted model, not a curated record. Lineage: Eukaryota; Metazoa; Chordata; Mammalia; Rodentia; Cricetidae.